This 253-nucleotide ribosomal RNA is filed under the name uncultured bacterium. RNAcentral describes it as "partial 16S ribosomal RNA". It matches the Rfam family "Bacterial small subunit ribosomal RNA", at positions 524 to 776 of the family's 1533-position model. The record is from RNAcentral.
UACGUAGGGUGCGAGCGUUGUCCGGAAUUACUGGGCGUAAAGAGCUCGUAGGUGGUUUGUCGCGUUGUUCGUGAAAACUCACAGCUUAACUGUGGGCGUGCGGGCGAUACGGGCAGACUGGAGUACUGUAGGGGAGACUGGAAUUCCUGGUGUAGCGGUGAAAUGCGCAGAUAUCAGGAGGAACACCGGUGGCGAAGGCGGGUCUCUGGGCCGAUACUGACGCUGAGGAGCGAAAGCGUGGGGAGCGAACAGG